AUUGAACGCUGGCGGAAUGCCUUACACAUGCAAGUCGAACGGCAGCACGGACUUCGGUCUGGUGGCGAGUGGCGAACGGGUGAGUAACAUAUCGGAACGUAUCCAAUAAUGGGGGAUAACGAGUCGAAAGAUUCGCUAAUACCGCAUACGCCCUACGGGGGAAAGCUGGGGACCUUCGGGCCUGGCGUUAAUGGAGCGGCCGAUAUCUGAUUAGCUAGUUGGUGAGGUAAAGGCUCACCAAGGCGACGAUCAGUAGCUGGUCUGAGAGGACGACCAGCCACACUGGAACUGAGACACGGUCCAGACUCCUACGGGAGGCAGCAGUGGGGAAUUUUGGACAAUGGGCGCAAGCCUGAUCCAGCCAUUCCGCGUGAGUGAAGAAGGCCUUCGGGUUGUAAGCUCUUUCGCAAGGGAAGAAAACUUAGCCACUAACAUUGGUUGAGGUUGACGGUACCUUGAUAAGAAGCACCGGCUAACUACGUGCCAGCCGCCGCCGUAA
RNAcentral lists this ribosomal RNA (499 nucleotides) under uncultured bacterium. RNAcentral's name for it is "partial 16S ribosomal RNA". It matches the Rfam family "Bacterial small subunit ribosomal RNA", at positions 30 to 523 of the family's 1533-position model. The record is from RNAcentral.